GACGAACGCUGGCGGUGCGCCUUAUGCAUGCAAGUCGAGCGAAGCUUUUCAGUAGUUUACUACAGAAAAUGACUGAGCGGCGAACGGGUGAGUAACGCGUGAGCAAUCUACCUUAGUUACAGGGAUAGCCCGAGGAAACUCGGAUUAAUACCUGAUAUUCUUUAUUUCUCGCAUGAGAAUAAAAGGAAAGGUCAGCCGAACUAAGAUGAGCUCGCGUUCUAUCAGCUUGUUGGUGAGGUAAAAGCUUACCAAGGCUACGACGGAUAGCUGGUCUGAGAGGACGAUCAGCCACACUGGGACUGAGACACGGCCCAGACUCCUACGGGAGGCUGCAGCAGGGAAUAUUGUGC
Molecule: ribosomal RNA, 350 nt
Filed under: uncultured bacterium
Lineage: Bacteria
Description: bacterial SSU rRNA
Rfam family: Bacterial small subunit ribosomal RNA
Source: RNAcentral